CCUACGGGGUGCAGCAGUGGGGAAUAUUGGACAAUGGGCGAAAGCCUGAUCCAGCCAUGCCGCGUGUGUGAAGAAGGCCUUCGGGUUGUAAAGCACUUUCAGUGGGGAAGAAAGCCUUGGGGCUAAUACCCUCGAGGAAGGACAUCACCCACAGAAGAAGCACCGGCUAACUCCGUGCCAGCAGCCGCGGUAAUACGGAGGGUGCGAGCGUUAAUCGGAAUUACUGGGCGUAAAGCGCGCGUAGGCGGUCUGAUAAGCCGGUUGUGAAAGCCCCGGGCUCAACCUGGGAACGGCAUCCGGAACUGUCAGGCUAGAGUGCAGGAGAGGAAGGUAGAAUUCCCGGUGUAGCGGUGAAAUGCGUAGAGAUCGGGAGGAAUACCAGUGGCGAAGGCGGCCUUCUGGACUAACACUGACGCUGAGGUGCGAAAGCGUGGGUAGCAAACAGGAUUAGAUACCCCGGUAGUC
This 465-nucleotide ribosomal RNA is filed under the name Vreelandella stevensii. RNAcentral's name for it is "partial 16S ribosomal RNA". It matches the Rfam family "Bacterial small subunit ribosomal RNA", at positions 338 to 795 of the family's 1533-position model. Lineage: Bacteria; Pseudomonadati; Pseudomonadota; Gammaproteobacteria; Oceanospirillales; Halomonadaceae. The record is from RNAcentral.